AUUGGGUGCAGUGGCAUGUGCCUAUGGUCCCAGCUACUCAGGAGGCUGAGACAGUAAGAUCGCUUGAGACCAGGGAGUCCUGGGCUAUAGUGCACUAUGCUGAUUGGCUGUUCGCACUAAGUUCAGCAUCAAUAUGGUGACCUCCCGGGAGCGGGGGACCACCAGGCUGCCUAAGGAAGGGUGAACCUACCCAGGUCAGAAACAGAGCAGAUCGAGACUCUCAUGUUGAUCAGCAAUAUGAUCACACUUGUGAUUAGCCACUGCAUUCCAGCCUGGGCAACAUAUUGAGACCCCAUCUCUG
Molecule: non-coding RNA, 301 nt
Organism: Nomascus leucogenys (northern white-cheeked gibbon)
Lineage: Eukaryota; Metazoa; Chordata; Mammalia; Primates; Hylobatidae
Rfam family: Metazoan signal recognition particle RNA
About the family: The signal recognition particle (SRP) is a universally conserved ribonucleoprotein. It is involved in the co-translational targeting of proteins to membranes. The eukaryotic SRP consists of a 300-nucleotide 7S RNA and six proteins: SRPs 72, 68, 54, 19, 14, and 9.
Source: Rfam